GUGCCAGCCGCCGCGGUACUACCGGCAGCUCAAGUGAUGGCCACUCUUAUUGGGCCUAAAGCGUCCGUAGCUGGCCGCGCAAGUCCGUCGGGAAACCCAUCAGCCCAACUGAUGGGCGUCCGGCGGAAACUGCACGGCUUGGGACCGGAAGGCUCGAGAGGUACGUCCGGGGUAGGAGUGAAAUCCCAUAAUCCCGAACGGACCACCGAUGGCGAAAGCACUUCGAGAAAACGGAUCCGACAGUGAGGGACGAAAGCCAGGGUCUCCAACCGGAUUAGAUAUCCCUGUAGUCC
Molecule: ribosomal RNA, 293 nt
Filed under: uncultured bacterium
Lineage: Bacteria
Description: partial 16S ribosomal RNA
Rfam family: Archaeal small subunit ribosomal RNA
Source: RNAcentral